GACGAACGCUGGCGGCGUGCUUAACACAUGCAAGUCGAGCGGUAAGGCCCUUUCGGGGGUACACGAGCGGCGAACGGGUGAGUAACACGUGGGUGACCUGCCCUCAGCUCUGGGAUAAGCCUGGGAAACUGGGUCUAAUACCGGAUAUGACUCCAUGACGCAUGUUGUGGGGUGGAAAGCCUUGUGCGGCUGAGGAUGGGCCCGCGGCCUAUCAGCUUGUUGGUGGGGUGANGGCCUACCAAGGCGACGACGGGUAGCCGGCCUGAGAGGGCGACCGGCCACACUGGGACUGAGACACGGCCCAGACUCCUACGGGAGGCAGCAGUGGGGAAUCUUGCGCAAUGGGCGAAAGCCUGACGCAGCGACGCCGCGUGAGGGAUGACGGCCUGGUGUAACUACUUCUA
Molecule: ribosomal RNA, 404 nt
Filed under: uncultured bacterium
Lineage: Bacteria
Description: bacterial SSU rRNA
Rfam family: Bacterial small subunit ribosomal RNA
Source: RNAcentral